This 275-nucleotide ribosomal RNA is filed under the name uncultured prokaryote. RNAcentral describes it as "partial 16S ribosomal RNA". It matches the Rfam family "Bacterial small subunit ribosomal RNA", at positions 524 to 800 of the family's 1533-position model. The record is from RNAcentral.
UACGUAGGGGCUAGCGUUAUCCGGAAUUACUGGGCGUAAAGGGUGCGUAGGUGGUUUCUUAAGUCAGAGGUGAAAGGCUACUGCUCAACCGUAGUAAGCCUUUGAAACUGGGAAACUUGAGUGCAGGAGAGGAGAGUGGAAUUCCAUGUGUAGCGGUGAAAUGCGUAGAUAUAUGGAGGAACACCAGUGGCGAAGGCGACUCUCUGGUCUGUAACUGACGCUGAGGCUCGAAAGCGUGGGGAGCAAACAGGAUUAGAUACCCGGGUAGUCCCUGA